UUUGGGUUUGGCCCUCGCGGCGACCCGUACCUUCCCGCCGCUCCUCUCGCUCCGUGCUCUCCCCCCGGCCCGGGGAAAUGGAGGAACCCCCCGAUGGCUUCGGCUCCCAACGGUCGCUCCCCGGCGCUGGGUCCAGAGCGGCCCGAGGAGGGGAUGCUCUGUGUGCCGGAACGGUGAGAGUUUCUCAGAGGCAAUCCUCCCGUUGCAGCUGCUGACAGCACUGAAAACCUGUGUGCUUCGUGGUGUCCAUCGCCCAGCUGGCAACGAUUCCCUGGUGUUUGGUGCAUUAAGUCACACCCAGCUGUGUGGGAUGGCAGAGUCAGGUGGGCCCUUUAUUGAACAGAUUUAUCUGCUACAAGGCUACGCAGAAGGAUGGAAAGGAGGAACACAGGGGGAAAAAAAAAUAGAUGAAAGGCCAUGCAUUGAUCACCUGAUGUACUCCAGAGACAAACAUGGCUAUUACAGGGGCUGGUUCUGGGGUAACAAGGAAACACAAGGCCUAAACACCUCUGGCUUGUCUGUCCAAGGAUCUGCCUCAAUUGUGGCUCCCAUCCUUCUGAAGAACUCUUCAGCACAAGGCAGGGUUCCUGGACGAGGUGACCCAGGACAGCUUCGUGCUGGGCCCGGGCUACGACCGCCCCUAGCAGCUGGAGCCCACGGUGAGGGAGCCCAAGAGCAUCCAGCUGUACCAGCACCUCAGCCUCAAGAGCUGCAUCUGGACCUUCGACGCUUAUUACGACAUGACCGAGUUAAUUGAUGUCUGUGGGGGCUCUGUCACCGCUGA
Poecile atricapillus (Black-capped chickadee) is the source of this 784-nucleotide RNA transcript. It is a transcript of the gene named GDP-fucose protein O-fucosyltransferase 2-like, with no coding region annotated. Lineage: Eukaryota; Metazoa; Chordata; Aves; Passeriformes; Paridae. The transcript has 5 exons. The record is from RefSeq and is a predicted model, not a curated record.